CUGAAGAGCACAGUGUACUGCACCGCUAUUGCUGCUGGUGGUGAGAAGGAGUGGAACUUUGGCUGGAACCAGUACCUCGCCUCCAACGUUGGCUCUGAGAAAUCUCUACUACUGUCUGCUCUGGGAUGUACCAAGAAAGUCUGGAUCCUGUCUAGGUACCUCGACAUGGCUUUCACAAACAGCAGCGGUAUUAGGAAACAGGAUGCAGGAACAGCGUUCGAGGGUGUAGCCAGGAACAGUGUAGGACACUACCUUGCCUGGAACUAUAUUAGAGAGAAUUGGGAGAAAAUUAUUGACUACUAUGGGUCCGGCCUAUUUACCAUCCCUCGCUUAGUUAAAUCGACUACUGAGUCCUUAAACACAGACUUGGAACUGAAGGAGGUGAGUCAACAUACCUAGUUGUUGUGAG
Molecule: non-coding RNA, 409 nt
Organism: Cherax quadricarinatus
Lineage: Eukaryota; Metazoa; Arthropoda; Malacostraca; Decapoda; Parastacidae
Source: RefSeq, a predicted model, not a curated record